CAAUGUUGCCAGAUUCCUUUUAGCGGGAAUUUUAAAAUUUUAUAGCAGGUUUGUUUUAAAUUUGACAGUUCUGUUUUCUCAAGUCAAAAAUCUUAACCUUACUUUUACAAGUGAUUAGGAUUAUUAUUAUUAUUUUAUUUACAUGUAAAUUGAAACAAUAAAUAUUGUGCUGUGUCAUAAUUUCAAACUCAUUAUGUUGCAGUCUUUUCCAGUUGAUAAAAUUGCAAUUCAAAAACUUUUAGAUUUGCACUGUAUGGAUGGCACAGGAAGAGAACAAAGAGUACAAGAACAUGAAACAUCUUAUUAUGAAUGUAUAUGUAUGUGAUCCUCAAAAAAUUAUUUUACAAAACAAGAUAGAGAAAGAGUUUAUUUGGUGUACUAGUCGAAUAAUAGUAUCUAAAAAUAUUGAAACUAUUUUAAAACACAUUACAGGCAUGAGGAUGAUAUAGAGCACUUACAUAAAUACCAAAAUCAGAUAAAUAUCUCUUCAAAGUUUAUUUUGAGACUUUCUUCAAAAAUUAAACUUCAGACUGUUCAGGAUAGCAUAAUAGCAUAGGAGGCGAAUUAAAAAGAAUUGAUUUACUUACAAAGAAAAGAUAUCACAAACAUUAAACUCUCUUAUGGCAUUGAUUUGAAAGAUGGGUAUAUGUACAAUGAUGAUGCAACCAGUGUUUAUUUUUGGGUUGAAUGCUUACAGACUUAUGUCCAAUAUUAUUUUACAAACAACAGGGCAUACUAAUGGAUAUUCAUUCUGAAUUUAACAUUUAUGAUUUUUGUCUUAUUUUCCUUAAUACUGUGCCAAAAGGAAAUGUUAAUUAAGUUUGGUAAAUCCUGUAUCGCAAUCGAUGGAACUCAUGGGCUCAAUUCCUAUGACUUUGAACUUAUGACAGUAUUAGUAAAAGAUGAAUUUGGGAAUGGAUUUUGUACUGCUUUCUUAUUUUCAAAUAGAAAAGAUACCUACUUUAAUUUACCAAUUUUUUUAAAUACAUGUCUGUGUUGGUAUUAUAGUCAAAUGUUUUCAUAUCAGGCAUAAGCGACACCUUUUACAACGCCUCGUCAAAUGUAAUGGGUAUUGCUCCUAAUAGACUGUUAAGUGCCUGGCACAUAGAUAAGGCAUGGUAAGUAAAUUUUAAUAAAAUAUCUGAUUCUGAAAAAAAUCCUAUUAUGUAUACAAGAUGUAUUAAUGAUGGUUUAGAGAGUAUUAAUAGCUUUUUGGGUAGACUUCUAAGUGAUGCAGAUACAUACAAUUUUAGUAAGUAUUUCCAGUAGAACUACUGCAAUAACAUCCAACAAUGGGCCUAUUGUUAUAGGAAGGGGUUGUGGAAUUAAUACCAAUAUGACCAUUCAAAAUUUUCAUAAAAUUUUGGAUAAAAGGGUAUCCAUUAGUUGUUAUCAGUUAAGUUUAAAACUUGGCACUCAUGGAGAGCUAUACCAUAAUAUAUAAUAGGUAUAUCUCAUAAUAUUACAUCUCAUAUUGUUCACUACAGUAGUAAUGAGUGAGCCUGCGUACACAGAACCAUAAUAAUAUAUUAGUUCGUGUAUGCAGGCUCACUCAUUACAAUAGUGAGCGAUAUGAGAUAUAACAUAUUAUAGUAUAAGUCUCUGUGCAUGACCAGAUUAACACGUUUGGUACCCAUCUCGAACAAGCUCCACUUGGCUGGUACCACAUACUUAAAUCAUUUAUUUAGUUACACAGUACUACUCACAUAACUUAUGUGUCAUAAAAAAGUACCUUCGGUAAAACCUUCGUGAUGCUACGUCAUGGCCACUGAAUGUGUUAAAGCUUGUUAAUGUAGGAGAGUUAUACUAAAAUAUAUAUCGCCUAUUAUAUUGCCUUAAAUAGAAAAAUAUCUUAUUUAAAUUGUAUCCAUGUAAGUUUUGAUUUAAUGAAAUAAACCUUUUAAUCAAAAAAGUGUUGUUUACUUGUGUACACCCAGCAAUAUCCUGAUCAUAGAUAAAUAAUAUAGUAUUACUGGAUCCUGAUAUGCAGACGCCAAUAGGGCUUUUCAUCGAUUGUCAUUUGUUUCGAGCUUCUGUCAUGAGUCACAUAAUAUUAAUGUAUCUACGUCAUACGUCUU
Diabrotica virgifera virgifera (western corn rootworm) is the source of this 2078-nucleotide long non-coding RNA. RefSeq lists it as uncharacterized. The record is from RefSeq and is a predicted model, not a curated record. The transcript is spliced from 3 exons. Lineage: Eukaryota; Metazoa; Arthropoda; Insecta; Coleoptera; Chrysomelidae.